GAUGAAGAACGUAGCGAAAUGCGAUAAGUAAUGUGAAUUGCAGAAUUCAGUGAAUCAUCGAAUCUUUGAACGCACAUUGCGCCCGCCAGUAUUCUGGAGGGCAUGCCUGUUCGAGCGUCAUUACAACCCUCAGGCCCCCGGGCCUGGCGUUGGGGAUCGGCGGAAGCCCCCUGCGGGCACAACGCCGUCCCCCAAAUACAGUGGCGGUCCCGCCGCAGCUUCCAUUGCGUAGUAGCUAACACCUCGCAACUGGAGAGCGGCGCGGCCACGCCGUAAAACACCCAACUUCUGAAUGUUGACCUCGAAUCAGGUAGGAAUACCCGCUGAACUUAAGCAUAUCAAUAAGCGGAGGA
RNAcentral lists this unclassified non-coding RNA (353 nucleotides) under soil metagenome. Its description in RNAcentral is "partial contains 5.8S ribosomal RNA, internal transcribed spacer 2, and large subunit ribosomal RNA". The stretch from base 1 to 120 matches the Rfam family "5.8S ribosomal RNA", at positions 35 to 154 of the family's 154-position model. The record is from RNAcentral.